UUGAACUCUCCAUAUUAUCAAUCUUUUCAUUAAGAUGAGAGUUGAUCUUUUGUUGCUCACCUACAAAGUCCUCCAUGACUUUGCUUAUCUUCAAAAUGGCUUGCUCCAAUGAAGAUGUACUCAUUGAUGGUUGAGGUUGAGGUUGAGGUUGGGUUAUAAGGUUGGGAUGGUUUAUAUACUCAAAUGAAGUUGGCAUGGCUUGUGGUUGUGCUUCAGUAUGCACAUUCCUCAAUUCAAACUCUUCUAUCCUUCUAGCCAUAGAUGCUAGCUUUGCCUUCAUGCUCAUGUCUUCAUUCA
RNAcentral lists this long non-coding RNA (297 nucleotides) under Vitis vinifera (wine grape). RNAcentral describes it as "long non-coding RNA (VVIN_LNC005412)". Lineage: Eukaryota; Viridiplantae; Streptophyta; Magnoliopsida; Vitales; Vitaceae. The record is from RNAcentral.